Homo sapiens (human) is the source of this 404-nucleotide long non-coding RNA. RefSeq lists it as uncharacterized. NCBI's taxonomy places the organism in Eukaryota, Metazoa, Chordata, Mammalia, Primates, Hominidae. The transcript is spliced from 4 exons. The record is from RefSeq and is a predicted model, not a curated record.
GGAAACCUGUCUAUGCUUCUGGAUGAACCAACCUAAGUCACAUCACUCCAGAUAUCAUGGAGGAUAUCCAUAUGGUUAUAUGGAAUCAUAGAAACUUGUGGACGGAGGAGACUUAGGGAUUAUCUAGUCCAACCUUCUUGAUUUCAGGUGCUGAUAAUUCCCAGGACUACCACCAGCCUCGCCUUUGUGCUGACAAGACUUCCUGAUACGUCCUCAAGGAUGAUCAAAUGAACUUCAUGACUUGUUUCUGUUUCUGCCCUUGGACGACUUCUGCGGAAAUCAUCUCUAGAUCUUACCUAGUCAAUCCAGGAAAAUCUCUCCUUACACCCUCUGUCUGUUUCAAUUCGGAGGGAGAAAUUGCCUAAUUGGGCCUUGUUCUGUUGCCUCCACCUCCCGGGUUCAAG